RNAcentral lists this long non-coding RNA (1586 nucleotides) under Homo sapiens (human). Its description in RNAcentral is "HSALNT0184089". Lineage: Eukaryota; Metazoa; Chordata; Mammalia; Primates; Hominidae. The record is from RNAcentral.
AGAUAUUUAAAUCUGCUGUACAUUUUCCCGUUUCUAAAGACAAUGAUUUCUUUUUUCCCCCGUGGAACUAAGUGGGCCUUGAUAAAAUCUUCUAGAAUUAGAAAUUUCAGGGUAAAGAACUUUUUUUUGCUUCGAAUGCUUUGGCCAUCUCUACAUUAGAAAGCCUUGGCCGGGCACGGUGGCUCAUGUCCGUAAUCCCAGCACUUUGGGAGGCCAAGGUGGGCGGAUCACGUGAGGUCAGGAGUUUGAGACCAGCCUGGCCAUCAUGGCGAAACCCCGUCUCUAUUAAAAAUACAUAAAAAUUAGCCAGGUGUGGUGGUGCAUGCCUGUGGUCCCCCCUACUCGGGAGGCUGAGGCAGAAUUGCUUGAAUCCAGAAGGCAGAGGUUGCAGUGAACCAAGAUCGUGCCACUGCACUCCAGCCUGGGCAACAGAGUGAGACCCUGUCUCAAAACAAAAACAAAACAAAAAAAAAACAAGCCUUGUGUUUCUGAGAUAUCUUCGAAUACAAGGCAAAAUUGGGAUUGAGAAUAACGGGAACUUUUGGCAGAUUAUUUAUCAACUUUAGUUUAUUUCAGAGUCCAGAUUGAGUGGGAAUAGUGAUACAGAUGCCUUCUUUCUUUCUUCUCUGUCUCCCCACCUGUUCUCUCCUGCCCAUCCAGCGGUAGGUAGUCCUUACUCAGAGAGUGGAAACAGAGAAAGGGCUUGUCUCAGACCCAUCGAGCUUUUGCCCAGUUUUUCCCUACAAAUUGUGAAGCAGAUUCACAGAGGACUUGCUUCAUGGUUGGUUCAUUCAUAUGCCCCUCAGCACCGACAGGCUGAAAUUAACAUAAAAACCAAAACAGAACCACUUCCUGUCCUGUGGAUAUCCUUACUGUUGAGUUAUUGCAGGUGUUUAGCUUCUUAACCAUUGCAGAAGCUCCCGGGUAGAUUGUGGAGGAAGCUGCCCUCCAGGCCUUUCCUGCCCCUUGGCAGACAACCCGAGCCAUUGUUAUUUUAAUCCAUUUCACACAUCAGAUUUUGGCUGAAGAUUUUGUUUGUUGGUUUGUUUUCAGACAGGGUCUUGCUCUGUCACCCAGCCUGGAGUGCAGUGGCGGGAUCAGGGUUCACUGCAGCUUUGACCUUCCUGAGCUCAAGUGAUCCUCCUUCCUCAGCCUCCUGAGUGGCUGGGACUACAAGUGCAUGCUACCACACCCGCUGAUAUUUUAUUUUUUGUAGAGGUGGCGUCUCGAAUUCCUGGUUUCAAGCGAUCCUCCCACCUUGGCCUCCCAAAGUGCUGGGGUUACAGGUGUGAGCCACUGUGCCUGGUCAGAUUUUAGUUUAAGAUUUUGUUUGAGCAAGGGUUAUGGCUGUUAACAAGCGAGCCAGACACUGGAUUAGAUGGCCUGUGAGAAACCUUUUACUUUUGCUGUGAAAGGAGAAAGAAACUUGUUUUUCCCACUGGUGAGAAGAAUUCAAACCACAGACAGAUCUGUAGGUAGGACUGGGACUCGGGAAGCUGAAGUUCUUUUUACUGGCAGAAGCAGCGCAGCCCUAAGCGGUGUUGUGCUUCGGAGAGUGUUCCCUCUAACAAGAGGGGAGUGGACCC